Molecule: transfer RNA, 92 nt
Filed under: Brevibacillus borstelensis
Lineage: Bacteria; Bacillati; Bacillota; Bacilli; Caryophanales; Paenibacillaceae
Also listed under: 1 other name
Description: tRNA-Ser
Rfam family: tRNA
About the family: Transfer RNA (tRNA) molecules are approximately 80 nucleotides in length. Their secondary structure includes four short double-helical elements and three loops (D, anti-codon, and T loops).
Source: RNAcentral
GGAGAGAUACCCAAGUGGUCAUAAGGGGACGCACUCGAAAUGCGUUAGGCGUCGUGAGGCGUGCGUGGGUUCGAAUCCCACUCUCUCCGCCU